This 2904-nucleotide ribosomal RNA is filed under the name Escherichia coli. RNAcentral's name for it is "23S ribosomal RNA". It matches the Rfam family "Bacterial large subunit ribosomal RNA". The record is from RNAcentral. Lineage: Bacteria; Pseudomonadati; Pseudomonadota; Gammaproteobacteria; Enterobacterales; Enterobacteriaceae.
GGUUAAGCGACUAAGCGUACACGGUGGAUGCCCUGGCAGUCAGAGGCGAUGAAGGACGUGCUAAUCUGCGAUAAGCGUCGGUAAGGUGAUAUGAACCGUUAUAACCGGCGAUUUCCGAAUGGGGAAACCCAGUGUGUUUCGACACACUAUCAUUAACUGAAUCCAUAGGUUAAUGAGGCGAACCGGGGGAACUGAAACAUCUAAGUACCCCGAGGAAAAGAAAUCAACCGAGAUUCCCCCAGUAGCGGCGAGCGAACGGGGAGGAGCCCAGAGCCUGAAUCAGUGUGUGUGUUAGUGGAAGCGUCUGGAAAGGCGCGCGAUACAGGGUGACAGCCCCGUACACAAAAAUGCACAUGCUGUGAGCUCGAUGAGUAGGGCGGGACACGUGGUAUCCUGUCUGAAUAUGGGGGGACCAUCCUCCAAGGCUAAAUACUCCUGACUGACCGAUAGUGAACCAGUACCGUGAGGGAAAGGCGAAAAGAACCCCGGCGAGGGGAGUGAAAAAGAACCUGAAACCGUGUACGUACAAGCAGUGGGAGCACGCUUAGGCGUGUGACUGCGUACCUUUUGUAUAAUGGGUCAGCGACUUAUAUUCUGUAGCAAGGUUAACCGAAUAGGGGAGCCGAAGGGAAACCGAGUCUUAACUGGGCGUUAAGUUGCAGGGUAUAGACCCGAAACCCGGUGAUCUAGCCAUGGGCAGGUUGAAGGUUGGGUAACACUAACUGGAGGACCGAACCGACUAAUGUUGAAAAAUUAGCGGAUGACUUGUGGCUGGGGGUGAAAGGCCAAUCAAACCGGGAGAUAGCUGGUUCUCCCCGAAAGCUAUUUAGGUAGCGCCUCGUGAAUUCAUCUCCGGGGGUAGAGCACUGUUUCGGCAAGGGGGUCAUCCCGACUUACCAACCCGAUGCAAACUGCGAAUACCGGAGAAUGUUAUCACGGGAGACACACGGCGGGUGCUAACGUCCGUCGUGAAGAGGGAAACAACCCAGACCGCCAGCUAAGGUCCCAAAGUCAUGGUUAAGUGGGAAACGAUGUGGGAAGGCCCAGACAGCCAGGAUGUUGGCUUAGAAGCAGCCAUCAUUUAAAGAAAGCGUAAUAGCUCACUGGUCGAGUCGGCCUGCGCGGAAGAUGUAACGGGGCUAAACCAUGCACCGAAGCUGCGGCAGCGACGCUUAUGCGUUGUUGGGUAGGGGAGCGUUCUGUAAGCCUGCGAAGGUGUGCUGUGAGGCAUGCUGGAGGUAUCAGAAGUGCGAAUGCUGACAUAAGUAACGAUAAAGCGGGUGAAAAGCCCGCUCGCCGGAAGACCAAGGGUUCCUGUCCAACGUUAAUCGGGGCAGGGUGAGUCGACCCCUAAGGCGAGGCCGAAAGGCGUAGUCGAUGGGAAACAGGUUAAUAUUCCUGUACUUGGUGUUACUGCGAAGGGGGGACGGAGAAGGCUAUGUUGGCCGGGCGACGGUUGUCCCGGUUUAAGCGUGUAGGCUGGUUUUCCAGGCAAAUCCGGAAAAUCAAGGCUGAGGCGUGAUGACGAGGCACUACGGUGCUGAAGCAACAAAUGCCCUGCUUCCAGGAAAAGCCUCUAAGCAUCAGGUAACAUCAAAUCGUACCCCAAACCGACACAGGUGGUCAGGUAGAGAAUACCAAGGCGCUUGAGAGAACUCGGGUGAAGGAACUAGGCAAAAUGGUGCCGUAACUUCGGGAGAAGGCACGCUGAUAUGUAGGUGAAGUCCCUUGCGGAUGGAGCUGAAAUCAGUCGAAGAUACCAGCUGGCUGCAACUGUUUAUUAAAAACACAGCACUGUGCAAACACGAAAGUGGACGUAUACGGUGUGACGCCUGCCCGGUGCCGGAAGGUUAAUUGAUGGGGUUAGCGCAAGCGAAGCUCUUGAUCGAAGCCCCGGUAAACGGCGGCCGUAACUAUAACGGUCCUAAGGUAGCGAAAUUCCUUGUCGGGUAAGUUCCGACCUGCACGAAUGGCGUAAUGAUGGCCAGGCUGUCUCCACCCGAGACUCAGUGAAAUUGAACUCGCUGUGAAGAUGCAGUGUACCCGCGGCAAGACGGAAAGACCCCGUGAACCUUUACUAUAGCUUGACACUGAACAUUGAGCCUUGAUGUGUAGGAUAGGUGGGAGGCUUGGAAGUGUGGACGCCAGUCUGCAUGGAGCCGACCUUGAAAUACCACCCUUUAAUGUUUGAUGUUCUAACGUGGACCCGUAAUCCGGGUUGCGGACAGUGUCUGGUGGGUAGUUUGACUGGGGCGGUCUCCUCCUAAAGAGUAACGGAGGAGCACGAAGGUUGGCUAAUCCUGGUCGGACAUCAGGAGGUUAGUGCAAUGGCAUAAGCCAGCUUGACUGCGAGCGUGACGGCGCGAGCAGGUGCGAAAGCAGGUCAUAGUGAUCCGGUGGUUCUGAAUGGAAGGGCCAUCGCUCAACGGAUAAAAGGUACUCCGGGGAUAACAGGCUGAUACCGCCCAAGAGUUCAUAUCGACGGCGGUGUUUGGCACCUCGAUGUCGGCUCAUCACAUCCUGGGGCUGAAGUAGGUCCCAAGGGUAUGGCUGUUCGCCAUUUAAAGUGGUACGCGAGCUGGGUUUAGAACGUCGUGAGACAGUUCGGUCCCUAUCUGCCGUGGGCGCUGGAGAACUGAGGGGGGCUGCUCCUAGUACGAGAGGACCGGAGUGGACGCAUCACUGGUGUUCGGGUUGUCAUGCCAAUGGCACUGCCCGGUAGCUAAAUGCGGAAGAGAUAAGUGCUGAAAGCAUCUAAGCACGAAACUUGCCCCGAGAUGAGUUCUCCCUGACUCCUUGAGAGUCCUGAAGGAACGUUGAAGACGACGACGUUGAUAGGCCGGGUGUGUAAGCGCAGCGAUGCGUUGAGCUAACCGGUACUAAUGAACCGUGAGGCUUAACCUU